CUAAGCUACUAAGGGCAAACGGUGGAUGCCUUGGUGUCAAGUGACGAAGAAAGACGUGGACAGCUGCGAAAAGCUUCGGGGAGGGGCUGAACACCCUUUGAUCCGGAGAUGUCUGAAUGGGGCAACCCGGCAUGGAUAAUACCGUGUCAUCCCUGGAUGAAUUCAUAGUUCAGGGAAGGUAACGGGGAGAACUGAAACAUCUUAGUACCCCCAGGAGUAGAAAGUAACAACGAUUUUCCAAGUAGCGGCGAGCGAAAGGGAAACAGCCCAAACCGAUUACGUGUCAAGCCCGAAAGCGUUGCGUAAACGGGGUCGUGGGAUAUGAUUUGGCAGGGUUUCGGACCUGCCGGAGAGUGACAAAAUUGAUUGUUAGUUGAAGAAGCUGGAAAGCUUUACCAUAGAAGGUGACAGUCCUGUAAGCAAAAGCAAUCGAUCUCUCUUAUCGUACACCCAAGUACUGCGGAACACGAGGAAUUCUGUGGGAAUUAGUGAGGACCAUCUCAUAAGGCUAAAUACGACUUGACAACCGAUAGUGUACCAGUACCGUGAGGGAAAGGUGAAAAGAACCCCUGUUAGGGGAGUGAAAUAGUACCUGAAACCGUUUGCUUACAAGCUGUGGGAGCAUAUACUUGUAUGUGUGACCGCGUGCCUUUUGCAUAAUGAGUCAGCGAGUUACUUAAUGCAGCCAGGUUAAGCCGAUAGGUGUAGCCGUAGCGAAAGCGAGUCUUAACAGGGCGAUCAGUUGCAUUGAGUAGACCCGAAACCAGGUGAUCUAUCCAUGUCCAGGGUGAAGCGCCAGUAAAAUGGUGUGGAGGCCCGAACCGAUACAGGUUAAAAACUGUUCGGAUGAGGUGUGGAUAGGGGUGAAAGGCCAAACAAACCUGGAGAUAGCUGGUUCUCUCCGAAAUAUAUUUAGGUAUAGCCUCGUAUGUUUCUUACCGGAGGUAGAGCACUGGAUGGGCUAGGGGUCUCACCAGAUUACCAAACCUAACCAAACUCCGAAUACCGGUAAGUGAAGUACGGGAGUCAGCCCGCGGGAGCUAAGUUCCGCGGACGAGAGGGAAACAACCCGGACCGCCAGCUAAGGUCCCCAAAUCUAUGCUAAGUGGAGAAGGAUGUGGGAAUGCCCAGACAACCAGGAGGUUGGCUUAGAAGCAGCCAUCCUUUAAAGAAAGCGUAACAGCUCACUGGUCGAGUGGAUCUGCGCCGAAAAUGUAUCGGGGCUCAAGCAUAGUACCGAAGCUGCGGGAUGUAGCAAUACAUCGGUAGGAGAGCAUUGUGUUGCCAUAGAAUCGCACCUGCGAGGGUGUGUGGAGGUGACACAAGAGACCAUGCUGACAUGAGUAGCGAUAAAGCGGGUGAGAGGCCCGCUCGCCGAAAGCCCAAGGUUUCCUGAGUAAAGCUAAUCUGCUCAGGGUUAGUCGAUCCCUAAGGCGAGGCCGAGAGGCGUAGUCGAUGGAAAACAGGUUAAUAUUCCUGUACCACCUCGUUGUCGUUUGAGAGAAGGGGGGACGCAGGAGGGCAGGUCAUCCGUCUGUUGGAAUAGGCGGUUCAAGCUGGUAGGCUUAAGUUCCAGGCAAAUCCGGAACUUUUCAAGGCCGAGAAGUGAUGAGGAGGGGCUAUGCCCCAUAAACUGACUGCACCCAUGCUGCCAAGAAAAGCCUCUAUCGAGAUAACAGGUGAUCGUACCGUAAACCGACACAGGUAGGCAGGGAGAGUAUCCCAAGGCGCUUGAGAGAACUCUGGUUAAGGAACUCGGCAAAAUCAUACCGUAACUUCGGGAGAAGGUAUGCCCCUGAUGGUGAUUAUAAUUCUAUAUGAGCUGUGGGGGGCCGCAGAGAAAUGGUGGUAGCGACUGUUUACUAAAAACAUAGGACUCUGCAAAGUCGUAAGACGAGGUAUAGGGUCUGACGCCUGCCCGGUGCCGGAAGGUUAAGGGGAUUUGUUAGCGUAAGCGAAGCACUGAACCGAAGCCCCGGUAAACGGCGGCCGUAACUAUAACGGUCCUAAGGUAGCGAAAUUCCUUGUCGGGUAAGUUCCGACCUGCACGAAUGGCGUAACGACUUCCACACUGUCUCAACCAGGGACUCAGCGAAAUU
RNAcentral lists this ribosomal RNA (2099 nucleotides) under bioreactor metagenome. RNAcentral's name for it is "bacterial LSU rRNA". It matches the Rfam family "Bacterial large subunit ribosomal RNA", at positions 1 to 2043 of the family's 2925-position model. The record is from RNAcentral.